UACGGAGGGUGCAAGCGUCAUCCGGAUUUACUGGGUUUAAAGGGAGCGUAGGUGGGUCGGUAAGUCAGUGGUGAAAUCUUCGAGCUUAACUCGGAAACUGCCAUUGAUACUAUCGAUCUUGAAUUAUCUGGAGGUAAGCGGAAUAUGUCAUGUAGCGGUGAAAUGCUUAGAUAUGACAUAGAACACCCAUUGCGAAGGCAGCUUACUACGGAUAUAUUGACACUGAGGCUCGAAAGCGUGGGGAUCAAACAGG
This 253-nucleotide ribosomal RNA is filed under the name uncultured bacterium. RNAcentral describes it as "partial 16S ribosomal RNA". It matches the Rfam family "Bacterial small subunit ribosomal RNA", at positions 524 to 776 of the family's 1533-position model. The record is from RNAcentral.